This 499-nucleotide ribosomal RNA is filed under the name uncultured bacterium. RNAcentral's name for it is "partial 16S ribosomal RNA". It matches the Rfam family "Bacterial small subunit ribosomal RNA", at positions 30 to 523 of the family's 1533-position model. The record is from RNAcentral.
AUUGAACGCUGGCGGCAGGCCUAACACAUGCAAGUCGAGCGGAUGAGUGGAGCUUGCUCCAUGAUUCAGCGGCGGACGGGUGAGUAAUGCCUAGGAAUCUGCCUGGUAGUGGGGGACAACGUUUCGAAAGGAACGCUAAUACCGCAUACGUCCUACGGGAGAAAGCAGGGGACCUUCGGGCCUUGCGCUAUCAGAUGAGCCUAGGUCGGAUUAGCUAGUAGGUGGGGUAAUGGCCCACCUAGGCGACGAUCCGUAACUGGUCUGAGAGGAUGAUCAGUCACACUGGAACUGAGACACGGUCCAGACUCCUACGGGAGGCAGCAGUGGGGAAUAUUGGACAAUGGGCGAAAGCCUGAUCCAGCCAUGCCGCGUGUGUGAAGAAGGUCUUCGGAUUGUAAAGCACUUUAAGUUGGGAGGAAGGGCAGUAAGUUAAUACCUUGCUGUUUUGACGUUACCAACAGAAUAAGCACCGGCUACUUCGUGCCAGCAGCCGCGGUAA